CCUACGGGGGGCUGCAGUGAGGAAUAUUGGUCAAUGGCCGGAAGGCUGAACCAGCCAAGCCGCGUGAAGGACGCAGGUGCCAAGCAUUGUAAACUUCUUUUGUCAAGGGACAAAAUCAGGCUCGAGAGCCUGACCGAGGGUACUUGUAGGAAAAGCAUCGGCUAACUCCGUGCCAGCAGCCGCGGUAAUCCGGAGGAUGCGAGCGUUAUCCGGAUUUAUUGGGGUUAACGGGUGCGUAGGCGGACUGUUAAGUCCGCGGUAAAAGCCCGGGGCUCAACCCCGGCGAGCCGUUGAAACUGGCUGGCUUGAGAUGUCGAGAGGUAGGCGGAAUGCGCAGUGUAGCGGUGAAAUGCUUAGAUAUUGCGCAGAACUCCGAUGGCGAAGGCAGCAUACCGGCGGCGAUCUGACGCUGAGGCACGAAAGCGUGGGGAUCGAACAGGAUUAGAUACCCGAGUAGUC
Molecule: ribosomal RNA, 459 nt
Filed under: uncultured bacterium
Lineage: Bacteria
Description: partial 16S ribosomal RNA
Rfam family: Bacterial small subunit ribosomal RNA
Source: RNAcentral